RNAcentral lists this long non-coding RNA (455 nucleotides) under Homo sapiens (human). RNAcentral describes it as "non-protein coding lnc-JPH4-4:2". Lineage: Eukaryota; Metazoa; Chordata; Mammalia; Primates; Hominidae. The record is from RNAcentral.
GGGGCUAUCAGUCCAACUCCUCAGUUAAUAGCCAGGGAAACAGAAGCCCAGGGAGAUAAAGACGGUGGCAGAGGAGGAAUUCUUUCUUAGCAGAUCUUCCAUUCCUAAUCCAGGAUCAUUUCCAGGGCUCCCAGGAGAAAUCUUUUGCCACAUUUGGAGAAAGGAUUGAAGAGAAAUGAGAGCCUGGAUGUGAAGAAAACAUUAGGAAGCUGCAGCAGUAACCUAUGUGAGAAAUUAAGAGAACCUAAAUCAGAUCCGUUGGCCAUCAAGAUUUCACUCAUUUUGAGACCUAGAGAUUGGUGCUCCUGGAGCUGUGAAAUGCGUGGCCUCUGUAGCCCUGUCAAGAGAAGCUAUGCUGUACCCUCAACACUCUGCCUAGAGAUUUCUUCCAUGAAAUAUCCUAGUUCACAUCUGCCUCCUGCAAACUACUAGGACAUGGACACUGCUCAGCCAAG